UCUUCUCAAGAUUAAGCCAUGCAUGUCUAAGUAUAAGCAAUUAUCCGUGAACUGCGAAUGGCUCAUUAAAUCAGUUAUCGUUUAUUGAUAAUACCUACUACUUGGAUAACCGUGGUAAUUCUAGAGCUAAUACAUGCUGAAAAUCCCGACUUCGGAAGGGAUGUGUUUAUUAGAUAAAAAACCAAUGCCCUUCGGGGCUUUUUGGUGAUUCAUGAUAACUUUACGGAUCGCAUAGCCUUGCGCUGGCGACGGUUCAUUCAAAUUUCUGCCCUAUCAACUUUCGAUGGUAAGGUAUUGGCUUACCAUGGUUUCAACGGGUAACGGGGAAUUAGGGUUCGAUUCCGGAGAGGGAGCCUGAGAAACGGCUACCACAUCCAAGGAAGGCAGCAGGCGCGCAAAUUACCCAAUCCCGACACGGGGAGGUAGUGACAAUAAAUACUGAUACAGGGCUCUUUUGGGUCUUGUAAUUGGAAUGAGUACAAUUUAAACCUCUUAACGAGGAACAAUUGGAGGGCAAGUCUGGUGCCAGCAGCCGCGGUAAUUCCAGCUCCAAUAGCGUAUAUUAAAGUUGUUGCAGUUAAAAAGCUCGUAGUUGAAACUUGGGCCUGGCUGGCGGGUCCGCCUCACCGCGUGCACUCGUCCGGCCGGGCCUUCCUUCUGAAGAACCUCAUGCCCUUCACUGGGCGUGCUGGGGAAUCAGGACUUUUACUUUGAAAAAAUUAGAGUGUUCAAAGCAGGCCUUUGCUCGAAUACGUUAGCAUGGAAUAAUAAAAUAGGGCGUGCGUUUCUAUUUUGUUGGUUUCUAGAGACGCCGCAAUGAUUAACAGGAACAGUCGGGGGCAUCAGUAUUCAGUUGUCAGAGGUGAAAUUCUUGGAUUUACUGAAGACUAACUACUGCGAAAGCAUUUGCCAAGGAUGUUUUCAUUAAUCAGUGAACGAAAGUUAGGGGAUCGAAGACGAUCAGAUACCGUCGUAGUCUUAACCGUAAACUAUGCCGACUAGGGAUCGGGCGAUGUUCUUUUUCUGACUCGCUCGGCACCUUACGAGAAAUCAAAGUUAGUAGUCAUAUGCGACUGAUUGAUCAC
Molecule: ribosomal RNA, 1085 nt
Filed under: Alternaria alternata
Lineage: Eukaryota; Fungi; Ascomycota; Dothideomycetes; Pleosporales; Pleosporaceae
Description: SSU rRNA
Rfam family: Eukaryotic small subunit ribosomal RNA
Source: RNAcentral